GUCCACGCCGUAAACGAUGUCAACUAGCCGUUGGAGAUCUUAGUAUCUUUAGUGGCGUAGCUAACGCGCUAAGUUGACCGCCUGGGGAGUACGGUCGCAAGAUUAAAACUCAAAUGAAUUGACGGGGGCCCGCACAAGCGGUGGAGCAUGUGGUUUAAUUCGACGCAACGCGAAGAACCUUACCUGGUCUUGACAUCCUACGAACUUUCCAGAGAUGGAUUGGUGCCUUCGGGAACGUAGUGA
Molecule: ribosomal RNA, 243 nt
Filed under: uncultured bacterium
Lineage: Bacteria
Description: partial 16S ribosomal RNA
Rfam family: Bacterial small subunit ribosomal RNA
Source: RNAcentral